RNAcentral lists this ribosomal RNA (465 nucleotides) under uncultured bacterium. RNAcentral describes it as "partial 16S ribosomal RNA". It matches the Rfam family "Bacterial small subunit ribosomal RNA", at positions 28 to 507 of the family's 1533-position model. The record is from RNAcentral.
GACGAACGCUGGCGGCGUGCUUAACACAUGCAAGUCGUACGGUAAGGCCCUUUCGGGGGUACACGAGUGGCGAACGGGUGAGUAACACGUGAGUAACCUGCCCACAACUUUGGGAUAACGCUAGGAAACUGGUGCUAAUACUGGAUAUGUGCUCCUGCUGCAUGGUGGGGGUUGGAAAGCUCCGGCGGUUGUGGAUGGACUCGCGGCCUAUCAGCCUGUUGGUGGGGUAGUGGCCUACCAAGGCGGCGACGGGUAGCCGGCCUGAGAGGGUGACCGGCCACAUUGAGACUGAGGUACGGCCCAGACUCCUACGGGAGGCAGCAGUGGGGAAUCUUGCACAAUGGGCGCAAGCCUGAUGAAGCGACGCCGCGUGCGGGAUGACCGCCUUCGGGUUGUGAACCGCUUUCAGCAGGGACGAAGCUUUUUGUGACGGUACCUGCAGAAGAAGCACCGGCUAACUACGUG